GGGGCUGUGACGCAGUGGUAGCGUGUUCCAUUCGCAUGAUAUCUGCCUUCAAUGUAGAUGGUAAUGUUGGAAAAGUCGUGUGUUCGAGUCAUACCUGCUCCA
Molecule: transfer RNA, 102 nt
Filed under: Cadophora sp. DSE1049
Lineage: Eukaryota; Fungi; Ascomycota; Leotiomycetes; Helotiales; Ploettnerulaceae
Description: tRNA-Ala
Rfam family: tRNA
About the family: Transfer RNA (tRNA) molecules are approximately 80 nucleotides in length. Their secondary structure includes four short double-helical elements and three loops (D, anti-codon, and T loops). Further hydrogen bonds mediate the characteristic L-shaped molecular structure. tRNAs have two regions of fundamental functional importance: the anti-codon, which is responsible for specific mRNA codon recognition, and the 3' end, to which the tRNAs corresponding amino acid is attached (by aminoacyl-tRNA synthetases). tRNAs cope with the degeneracy of the genetic code in two manners: having more than one tRNA (with a specific anti-codon) for a particular amino acid; and 'wobble' base-pairing, i.e. permitting non-standard base-pairing at the 3rd anti-codon position.
Source: RNAcentral